This 548-nucleotide ribosomal RNA is filed under the name uncultured bacterium. RNAcentral describes it as "bacterial SSU rRNA". It matches the Rfam family "Bacterial small subunit ribosomal RNA", at positions 355 to 896 of the family's 1533-position model. The record is from RNAcentral.
UAGGGAAUCUUCCGCAAUGGGCGAAAGCCUGGCGGAGCAACGCCGCGUGAGUGAAGAAGGAUUUCGGUUCGUAAAGCUCUGUUGUUAGGGAAGAAUGAUUGUGUAGUAACUAUACACAGUAGAGACGGUACCUAACCAGAAAGCCACGGCUAACUACGUGCCAGCAGCCGCGGUAAUACGUAGGUGGCAAGCGUUGUCCGGAAUUAUUGGGCGUAAAGCGCGCGCAGGUGGUUUAAUAAGUCUGAUGUGAAAGCCCACGGCUCAACCGUGGAGGGUCAUUGGAAACUGUUAAACUUGAGUGCAGGAGAGAAAAGUGGAAUUCCUAGUGUAGCGGUGAAAUGCGUAGAGAUUAGGAGGAACACCAGUGGCGAAGGCGGCUUUUUGGCCUGUAACUGACACUGAGGCGCGAAAGCGUGGGGAGCAAACAGGAUUAGAUACCCUGGUAGUCCACGCCGUAAACGAUGAGUGCUAAGUGUUGGUCUCAUAAGAGAUCAGUGCUGCAGCUAACGCAUUAAGCACUCCGCCUGGGGAGUACGACCGCAAGGUUG